Molecule: ribosomal RNA, 486 nt
Filed under: uncultured bacterium
Lineage: Bacteria
Description: partial 16S ribosomal RNA
Rfam family: Bacterial small subunit ribosomal RNA
Source: RNAcentral
GAUGAACGCUGGCGGCGUGCCUAAUACAUGCAAGUCGAACGCUGGAACUCUAGCUUGCUAGCUUGAAGGAGUGGCGAACGGGUGAGUAAUACAUAAGCAACCUACCCACGAAGACUGGGAUAAUCUCUGGAAACGGGGACUAAUACCGGAUAGGUAAUCGGAAGGCAUCUUCUGAUUAUUAAAGGUUACAAACACUGGUGGAUGGGCUUAUGGCGCAUUAGUUAGUUGGUGAGGUAACGGCCCACCAAGACGAUGAUGCGUAGCCGGCCUGAGAGGGUGAACGGCCACAUUGGGACUGAGACACGGCCCAGACUCCUACGGGAGGCAGCAGUAGGGAAUUUUCGGCAAUGGGGGAAACCCUGACCGAGCAACGCCGCGUGAGUGAUGACGGCCUUCGGGUUGUAAAGCUCUGUUGUAAGGGAAGAACGGUAGAUAGAGAAUAUCUAAAUGACGGUACCUUACCAGAAAGCCACGGCUAACUACGUG